RNAcentral lists this ribosomal RNA (400 nucleotides) under uncultured bacterium. RNAcentral's name for it is "bacterial SSU rRNA". It matches the Rfam family "Bacterial small subunit ribosomal RNA", at positions 355 to 769 of the family's 1533-position model. The record is from RNAcentral.
UCGAGAAUCUUCCGCAAUGCACGAAAGUGUGACGGAGCGACACCGCGUGAUGGAUGACACCCUUCGGGGCGUAAACAUCUUUUAUAAAGGAGGAAAUUAUUGACGUUACUUUAUGAAUAAGGGGCUCCCAAUCUCGUGCCAGCAGGAGCGGUAAUACGAGAGCCCCGAGCGUUAUCCGGAAUCAUUGGGCGUAAAGGGUGCGUAGGUGGUUUGAUUAGUCUUUUGUUAAAUCUUCGGGCUUAACUCGAAACAAGCAAAGGAAACGGUCAGACUAGAGUAUGUGAGGGGUGUGUGGAACUCAUGGAGUAGGGGUGAAAUCCGUUGAUAUCAUGGGGAACACCAAAAGCGAAGGCAGCACACUGGCACAUUACUGACACUGAGGCACGAAACCCUGGGUAGC